GUGCUCGCUUCGGCAGCGCAUAUACUGAAAGUGGAAGGAUACAGAGGUUAGCAUGGCCCCCAUGCAAAGAAGGCACACAAAUGUGUGCAGCAUCCCGUAUUUUU
Molecule: small nuclear RNA, 104 nt
Organism: Physeter macrocephalus (sperm whale)
Lineage: Eukaryota; Metazoa; Chordata; Mammalia; Artiodactyla; Physeteridae
Source: Ensembl